Molecule: ribosomal RNA, 531 nt
Filed under: uncultured bacterium
Lineage: Bacteria
Description: bacterial SSU rRNA
Rfam family: Bacterial small subunit ribosomal RNA
Source: RNAcentral
GAUCCUGGCUUAGGACGAACGCUGGCGGCGUGCCUAAUACAUGCAAGUCGAACGGUCUUUCUAUGGAAGCUUGCUUCCACUGAGAAGAUAGUGGCGAACGGGUGAGUAACACGUGGGUAACCUGCCCAUAAGAGGGGGGAUAACAUCCGGAAACGGGUGCUAAUACCGCAUAGUUUUCUUGAUCGCAUGAUCGGGAAAGGAAAGACGGCCUUUGUGCUGUCGCUUAUGGAUGGACCCGCGGCGUAUUAGUUAGUUGGUGAGGUAACGGCUCACCAAGACGAUGAUACGUAGCCGACCUGAGAGGGUGAUCGGCCACAUUGGGACUGAGACACGGCCCAAACUCCUACGGGAGGCAGCAGUAGGGAAUCUUCCGCAAUGGACGAAAGUCUGACGGAGCAACGCCGCGUGAGUGAAAGAAGGUUUUCGGAUCGUAAAACUCUGUUGUCAGAGAAGAACAAGUUGGAGAGUAACUGCUCCAGCCUUGACGGUAUCUGACCAGAAAGCCACGGCUAACUACGUGCCAGCCGCCGC